AACGAACGCUGGCGGCAUGCCUAACACAUGCAAGUCGAACGAGACCUUCGGGUCUAGUGGCGCACGGGUGCGUAACGCGUGGGAACCUGCCCUUAGGUUCGGAAUAACUCCCCGAAAGGGGUGCUAAUACCGGAUAAUGUCUUCGGACCAAAGAUUUAUCGCCUUUGGAUGGGCCCGCGUUGGAUUAGCUAGUUGGUAGGGUAAAAGCCUACCAAGGCGACGAUCCAUAGCUGGUCUGAGAGGAUGAUCAGCCACGCUGGGACUGAGACACGGCCCAGACUCCUACGGGAGGCAGCAGUGGGGAAUAUUGGACAAUGGGCGAAAGCCUGAUCCAGCAAUACCGCGUGAGUGAUGAAGGCCUUAGGGUUGUAAAGCUCUUUUACCCGGGAUGAUAAUGACAGUACCGGGAGAAUAAGCGCCGGCUAACUCCGUG
Molecule: ribosomal RNA, 433 nt
Filed under: uncultured bacterium
Lineage: Bacteria
Description: partial 16S ribosomal RNA
Rfam family: Bacterial small subunit ribosomal RNA
Source: RNAcentral